GAUCAUGGCUCGGGACGAACGCUGGCGGCGUGCUUAACACAUGCAAGUCGAACGGAAAGAGAUGAAAGAGCUUGCUCUUUUAUUAAUUUCAGUGGCAAACGGGUGAGUAACACGUAAACAACCUGCCUUAAGGAUGGGGAUAACAGACGGAAACGACUGCUAAUACCGAAUAUGUUCUAAGCAUCGCAUGGUGCAUAGAAGAAAGGGUGGCCUCUACAAGAAAGCUAUCGCCUUAAGAGGGGUUUGCG
Molecule: ribosomal RNA, 248 nt
Filed under: uncultured bacterium
Lineage: Bacteria
Description: partial 16S ribosomal RNA
Rfam family: Bacterial small subunit ribosomal RNA
Source: RNAcentral